This 427-nucleotide ribosomal RNA is filed under the name uncultured bacterium. RNAcentral's name for it is "partial 16S ribosomal RNA". It matches the Rfam family "Bacterial small subunit ribosomal RNA", at positions 354 to 796 of the family's 1533-position model. The record is from RNAcentral.
GUGGGGAAUAUUGGGCAAUGGGGGCAACCCUGACCCAGCGACGCCGCGUGAGGGAAGAAGGCCUUAGGGUCGUAAACCUCUGUUGUGUGGGAAGAAGGAAGUGACGGUACCACACGAGGAAGUCCCGGCUAACUACGUGCCAGCAGCCGCGGUAAUACGUAGGGGACGAGCGUUGUCCGGAAUUACUGGGCGUAAAGGGCGCGUAGGCGGUCAUUUAAGUCAGCUGUGAAAUGGUCCGGCUCAACCGGAUCAUGCGGUUGAAACUGGAUGACUGGAGUGCUGGAGAGGCAAGUGGAAUUCCCAGUGUAGCGGUGAAAUGCGUAGAUAUUGGGAAGAACACCGGUGGCGAAGGCGACUUUCUGGACGAUGUCUGACGCUGAGGCGCGAAAGCUAGGGGAGCGAACGGGAUUAGAAACCCGUGUAGUCC